Molecule: ribosomal RNA, 595 nt
Filed under: uncultured Bacteroidota bacterium
Lineage: Bacteria; Pseudomonadati; Bacteroidota
Description: bacterial SSU rRNA
Rfam family: Bacterial small subunit ribosomal RNA
Source: RNAcentral
CAACCUACCUAUCAGAGGGGAAUAACCCGGCGAAAGUCGGACUAAUACCGCAUAAAACAGGGGCACCGCAUGGUGAUAUUUGUUAAAGAAAUUCGCUGAUAGAUGGGCAUGCGUUCCAUUAGGUAGUUGGUGAGGUAACGGCUCACCAAGCCGACGAUGGAUAGGGGAACUGAGAGGUUGGUCCCCCACACUGGUACUGAGACACGGACCAGACUCCUACGGGAGGCAGCAGUGAGGAAUAUUGGUCAAUGGGCGAGAGCCUGAACCAGCCAAGUCGCGUGAAGGAAGAAGGAUCUAUGGUUCGUAAACUUCUUUUGCAGGGGAAUAAAGUGCAGGACGUGUCCUGUUUUGUAUGUACCCUGAGAAUAAGGAUCGGCUAACUCCGUGCCAGCAGCCGCGGUAAUACGGAGGAUCCGAGCGUUAUCCGGAUUUAUUGGGUUUAAAGGGUGCGUAGGUGGUUUGAUAAGUCAGCGGUGAAAGUUUGCAGCUUAACUGUAAAAAUGCCGUUGAAACUGUCGGACUUGAGUGUAAAUGAGGUAGGCGGAAUGCGUGGUGUAGCGGUGAAAUGCAUAGAUAUCACGAAGAACUCCGAUUG